GGGGUCUCUAAGUUUGACCAUACAGGAGGUUUCCAGUGUCUACAAGACUGCUGUACUGCUGGAAUUCAGCAAAUGUCUACUGCAUGAAUGUAUUGCCUGCAAAACUGGGUUCUGAAGAAUGGGUAGGAGCUGUUAAGUGAGGGAGGGGAGGGUAUUCUGGGGAAAGGGAAGAACCCAAUGGUGAGGGCCCAAAAUACGAUUUUUCAGUUUAGAAGGAUGAUUCCGCAGAGGGGAGAAUAGAUUUCAAGAGGGUGGGGGCAGAAAGACCUGUGGUCGGGUGAGAAAAAACCUGGAGGAGGGCAUGGAUUUGGGAGGCAGGCAAGAAGAGAAGGAGGAGGGGGAAGUCAAGGAUGAUUUUUCGUUUUCCAGUUCAGGUUUACCCUGUAGGCCACUGGCAAUUCCUUUUGCGGUUCCUUUUGUUUUCAACCAGAUAACCCCGGGAGCCCAGGUCUUCCCACCCCUCAGGCUGUAAAGAAUAUUCUCCCCAGCCUUUGUUCUUAAUGGUGAAGUCCAAGGCUCUUAAGGUGAGGAGGAAGCACUGGCCUAGCGUGGGGAAAGCUUCGUUAGUGUCUCCACCGUCCGCGUCCCGGCUUCGGUGUCGCUCGGAACCUCGCGAAAGAGCCAGACACACGCCUCCCAAGCCAGACCACGUGUCGCAGCCCAACUCCGAACGCCCCGCUCCUGUAUCCGCCGCCUCCGAUUGGCCGCCUGGAGGCGGAGCGAUUGUCAGGCGGCCCAAUCGGAGCUCCGUUUCCCACGGGUUCCCGUGGCCCCGCCCACAAGGCCGCCGGCAGAGGCGCCCUGACAGCUCCCAUUGGCAGACGGCGAGCGGGCCGGAGUGCGGCCGGGCCGAGCAGCGCCGCCGCCGUCGGGCGCGCAGCUCUGCAGCGCCGCGAACGCCUCGGCGCCCGCAGCCCCAGGAGCCCGGCGUCCCCGCAUUGUCCCCGGCGGCGUCGCGGAGAUCCGGGACGAGCGUCGCGGAUGGCUGUGUUCCAGAUAUUAACAUUAUCAGAAGCCUGACCUGCACAUGGUGAGCAGUUUAACUCGCCUACAUGCUUUGAAGGACUUUCGAGGUGCAUCAAGGUUCUAGGUGCUGAGGCCAUACCUCCUGCCCUCACCGAGCUUACCUUCUAGCGUGCGUGAAGUCUGAAGUCACAGACGAGCAUGUCCGAUGGUGAUGGACAAGAGCAAGGAAGUGUGCUAGAGCAUCCUGGAGGUGGGGUUGGGGGAUAGGGCUGUAAUUUUCAUAGGAUGAUCAGGGAGGAUCUUCCCAUGAAAGACAGGAUGAUUGAGCAAAGACAGGAAAGAGGUGAGGGAGGACGCCAGGUGCCUUUCUGGGAGAGAAGGUUCCAGGCCGAGGCAAGAGAAGUGCGGAAGCCCCGAGUUGCAGCUGUGUCCCGUUGUGAGAGGAACACUGGCGUGUGAGAGGAACAGGAGGAGGCCGUUGCAGCUGUGACAGCGUGAAUGAGCAGGAGAGGACUGAGGGGGCGAUUGGGAGAUACUCGACAACGGGGGGCUGUGUGGGUUAGGCUCCGGAUUGCACAGGGCCUCGCAGGCCAUUGGAAGGUCUUCGGGGACCAUGGAUGGACUUGAUUUCACUCACUUUAUACCAUGAGAAUAGACUGUUUGGGGGGCCAGGAUCAGGGCAGAAUCAGCAAGAUGAAUUAGCAGGUGGCCGUGACCAGCAUACGGGUGAUGGAGCUGGUGAAAUACAGCCAAAUUCUGGAUACAUUUUGAAGGCAGAGCUGACGGGAUUUGCUGAUGGAUGGGGUGUGAGGUGUGAGGGAGGAGGGAGGUGUCCAGGAGGGACAAGAGGCACAUGUACUUGGGGGACGAGCGGUGGUGUCGGUGGACCUUGGCUGCUCCAGGCAACCUGGGCCCUUCUUGGCCGUGCGGCAGGAGUUCCAGGCCAGCAGCGGGAAGGAAGGCUUGCCUAUGGAGUUCCCCAUUCUUGAAGAGUUUAUGAGUGGCUGGAUGGGUCAUUCCAUGGUGGCCAAGUCACCUCUUUUAAUUCAGUGGCCACCACCUGUACCCUUGGCCCUGGCCUCGUGCCAGCCACAAAAGCGGCCAGGGUUUGAGGAGGUCACAACUGAACCUCUAACAGAUGCCCAGUUCAGAGGACAAGCCCCGUGAUAGAGGAGAAUCUGCUUCUGUGAGGGAGAACCCCUUGGAUCCGGAGAACAAAGAUUGUUGAGGACCGAUUCCUACCGCGUGCGUCUAGACUUGGUUUUGGUCUCGGAAAAAUACUUCUGGGUGUGAUGGGAAGAACCCUCUUGGGCUCAGCGUGUUGGUGGGUAGUUUCGGAUCACCCACACAUCUUUGCUCGUUCCUCCCGCUUUUCUUUUUUUUUUUUUAAUUUUUUUUAACGUUAUUUAUUUUUGAGACAGAGAGAGACAGAGCAUGAACGGGGGAGGGUCAGAGAGAGAGGGAGACACAGAAUCGGAAGCAGGCUCCAGGCUCUGAGCCGUCAGCACAGAGCCUGACGUGGGGCUCGAACUCAUGGACGGUGAUAUCAUGACCUGAGCUGAAGUCGGACACCCAACCAACUGAGCCACCCAGGCGCCCCUCCUCCCGCUUUUCUACAGGGGUGUCUGAAGCGUACUAUCCCACCCGUCAUUGCCAGGACGCUGAGCACUGGGCCAAGGGGAGGCAAAUCCUCACCCCCAGGCCUGGUUUCUUGUUUGUUUGUUUAAAUUAAGUUUUAAAUUUUAAUUCCAGUAUCCUUAACAUACAUUGUUAUAUUAGUUUCAAGUGUACAGUAUAAUGAUUCAACACUUCCAUAAGCUACCCAGUGCUCAUCACGACAAGGGCACUCCUCACUCCCCGUGACGGGGAGUAUUUCACCCCCCACACCCCCACCUCCCCUCUGGUGAUCAUCUGUUUGUUCCCUGCAGUUAAGAGUCUGUUUCUUGCUGUGUCUGUCUGUCUCUCUUUUUGUUUUUGUUUUCCUUUGCUCGUUUGUUUUGGUUCUUAAAUUACACACGAGUGAAAUCAUAUGGUAUUUGUCCUCCUGUGACUUAUUCUGCUUAGCAUUGUACUUUCGAGCUCCCUCCAUGUUGUUGUAAAUGGCAAGAUUUCAUUCUUUUUGAUGGGUGCAUAAUAUUCCAUCACAUACACCUUGUCUUCUUUAUCCAUUCAGGCAGAGUCGAGUAACUGCCUGGACAAAACCUGAAAUAGUUACUCUUUGAUUCUUUACAGAAAGAAAGUUUGCUGACCCACGGGCUAGAAAAUAAGAGGAUGAAAAAGGCUAUUGGGGGAUGGAGCAUACAGAAAUGUUCCUUGUCAGUCACUUGAACGCCGCUCAGCCUUAGUGUGUGUGAAUGUGAAAUUCCAUACCUCACAAAUUGUGGCUUAACGUUGUUAAGAUUUUACUUUUUUUUUUUUUUGUUCGUUCUUCUACAGGUUAGAGGACGUUAUUUUUAUACUUAAUAGGAAAUACAAUUCAGCACGGGUAGGUUCACAUUUAAUAUUGGUGUCAUUUUACUGGGCAGAUGGUUGUAUAUAUUAGUAUUCAGUUAGUAUUAGUAUGGAAUAUUAGUGUUGAACCUUCUGUAAUCCCAAAGUUUAGCAUUUAAGUCUUGAUUUGCCAUUUGGUCCUCCUUGGAUAGUAGAAAGUUUCUCUCCCAUAUGAGUGUAUUAAUAUUGUGUGGUUUGUUUUGUCUUUGUGUGAUCAAGAAUUCUCCAUCCCCGAGGCACCUGGGUGGCUCAGUCGGUUAAGCAUCCAACUUCGGCUCAGGUUAUGAUCUCGCGAUUCGUGAGUUCGAGGCCUGUGUCGGACUCUGUGCUGAUGGCUCAGAGCGUGGAGCCUGUUUCGGAUUCUGUGUCUCCCUCUCUCUGCUCCUACCCCACUCACACUCUGUCAAUCUCUCUCUCAAAAAUAAACAUUAAAAAAAAAAAAGAAUUCUCCAUCCUUUUAGUAAAUGCAAGGGUUUUCAAAAUAAGUAGACUUGCAUUUUCUCCCCCCUAAAUGGGACUUAGAUAGUUUUAUCUAAGUUGUUCCUUUUGUCUUUUAGCUAUAUUGUGUGCUAUGUUAUUCUGGAAGGCUAUGGAAUUCUUCAUGUAAGAAAAAAAAUAAAAGAAUGAAAUAGAUUUAAAAUAUAAAGGACUUUUCUUUCUUAAUUGCAUCUUAAUGUAAUAAAAGCCAGAGAGUAAUUAUUAAAAAUGAUAGAAGAAAAGAAUUAAAACAAUAAAAUUGCUUAGCAAAGAUCCUGUUUCAUAAUGCAGUCGGAUAUAAUUGGUAUCAUAAUGUGUAAUUAACAAUCUUUCUUUGAAGUAUGAGGCGUGCAUUUGGGCAGGCAGGGGACCUCUUAGGAGCGGUGAUGUCUGAAUUAGUUCUUACCGUAGUGCUUCUGAAUCUGUGUACAGAUUGUAGCAUCUUGCUUCCUGCCUUGUUAGUUGCUUUUUGUUGGUAGAGAGAGAUCAUAAACUAAGGGCUAGGAGAGAUGGUUCCCCAGAGCUUGACCAGCCACCCAGCCACCGCUGCCCCCAGGAUUGAUUAGGGACAGGAGAAGACAAACUCCUGGAUACCCGCUGUGGUUUUAGCUCACACCUCAGGGCAGUUCCCUGGCGUAGACCAGAUGGGGGACCCUUCUUGCCCUGGUAUCAGGUUGGCCUGGGGCGUGUGCUUUAAACGAGCUGAGAAGCCUCCUUGACCUCAUUUUCUAGACCCACCCCCAUUCUGGCCCCAUGGAUCUUACUGCAGAUACCGCCAGGAAAGAUGAGUCCAAGGAAAAGUACCACCAGGAAACAGAGGGGGAAGGUAAUGGAUUCACAGGCUCGGAGCCUGAGUCUCACUUUCUCUACUGCCCACCUUGGCUCCAUCUGACUCCUUGAAGACUGGGACACCAGAACACUCAAGAACGCAAAUAAAAGCACUGGCAGAGACUAUUCCAGGCAGAUCUGAACUUCUGUUCACUACUUCUUUGGUUCUAGAGUUCCGUGCCCACGAGGCACCACGUAUAGGCUUCUGCGGGAGGCGUGGUGGUGGGUGCUCUUCAUCGCCCCCUGGUGGGAGAAGUUGGCUCUGUGCGACUGUAGAGGGGGAAACGGCCACUCCAGAGCUUAGCUUUUGAAAGAAAUCAUGUGAUG
RNA transcript from Acinonyx jubatus (cheetah), 5088 nucleotides. RefSeq lists it as uncharacterized. The transcript is spliced from 5 exons. The record is from RefSeq and is a predicted model, not a curated record. NCBI's taxonomy places the organism in Eukaryota, Metazoa, Chordata, Mammalia, Carnivora, Felidae.